UGGGCGAGCCUGACCGAGCACGCCGCGUGAGCGAUGAAGGCCUUCGGGUCGUAAAGCUCUGUUGUUAGAGAAGAACAAGUACGAGAGUAACUGCUCGUACCUUGACGGUACCUAACCAGAAAGCCACGGCUAACUACGUGCCAGCAGCCGCGGUAAUACGUAGGUGGCAAGCGUUAUCCGGAAUUAUUGGGCGUAAAGCGCGCGCAGGCGGUCUCUUAAGUCUGAUGUGAAAGCCCACGGCUCAACCGUGGAGGGUCAUUGGAAACUGGGAGACUUGAGUGCAGGAGAGAAAAGUGGAAUUCCACGUGUAGCGGUGAAAUGCGUAGAGAUGUGGAGGAACACCAGUGGCGAAGGCGGCUUUUUGGCCUGUAACUGACGCUGAGGCGCGAAAGCGUGGGGAGCAAACAGGAUUAGAUACCCUGGUAGUCCACGCCGUAAACGAUGAGUGCUAGGUGUUGGGGGGUUCCACCCUCAGUGCUGAAGUUAACACAUUAAGCACUCCGCCUGGGGAGUACGACCGCAAGGUUGAAACUCAAAGGAAUUGACGGGGGCCCGCACAAGCAGUGGAGCAUGUGGUUUAAUUCGAAGCAACGCGAAGAACCUUACCAGGUCUUGACAUCCUCUGACCACUCUAGAGAUAGAGCUUUCCCCUUCGGGGGACAGAGUGACAGGUGGUGCAUGGUUGUCGUCAGCUCGUGUCGUGAGAUGUUGGGUUAAGUCCCGCAACGAGCGCAACCCUUGACCUUAGUUGCCAGCAUUCAGUUGGGCACUCUAAGGUGACUGCCGGUGACAAACCGGAGGAAGGUGGGGAUGACGUCAAA
RNAcentral lists this ribosomal RNA (821 nucleotides) under uncultured Bacillus sp. RNAcentral's name for it is "bacterial SSU rRNA". It matches the Rfam family "Bacterial small subunit ribosomal RNA", at positions 372 to 1189 of the family's 1533-position model. The record is from RNAcentral. Lineage: Bacteria; Bacillati; Bacillota; Bacilli; Caryophanales; Bacillaceae.